UACGUAGGGGGCAAGCGUUGUCCGGAUUUAUUGGGCGUAAAGAGCGUGUAGGCGGCUUUACAGGUCCGUUGUGAAAACUCCAGGCUCAACCUGGAGACGCCAUUCGAUACUGGUGUGGCUAGAGUCCAGUAGGGGAGUGUGGAAUUCCUGGUGGAGCGGUGAAAUGCGCAGAUAUCAGGAGGAACACCCGUAGCGAAGGCGGCACUCUGGGCCGAUACUGACACUGAGGAGCGAAAGCGUGGGGAGCGAACAGG
RNAcentral lists this ribosomal RNA (254 nucleotides) under uncultured bacterium. RNAcentral describes it as "partial 16S ribosomal RNA". It matches the Rfam family "Bacterial small subunit ribosomal RNA", at positions 524 to 776 of the family's 1533-position model. The record is from RNAcentral.